This 281-nucleotide ribosomal RNA is filed under the name uncultured bacterium. RNAcentral's name for it is "partial 16S ribosomal RNA". It matches the Rfam family "Bacterial small subunit ribosomal RNA", at positions 28 to 319 of the family's 1533-position model. The record is from RNAcentral.
GACAAACGCUGGCGGCGUGCCUAAACAUGCAAGUCGAACGGACUCUUCGGAGUCAGUGGCGGACGGCUGAGUAACACGUAGGUGACCUGCCCUUGAGUGGGGAAUAACGGUCCGAAAGGAUCGCUAAUACCGCAUACGACCGCUGCAUUUUGGUUGUGGUGAGGAAAGACCGAAAGGCGCUCGAGGAGGGGCCUGCGUCCGAUUAGCUAGUUGGUGGGGUAAGGCCGUACCAAGGCGACGANCGGUAGCUGGUCUAAGAGGAUGAUCAGCCAGACUGGGAC